AGCUCCUCCUCAUAGCAUCGCCCAGGGAUCGUAUAAGAUCGCCAAGGAGUGCCAGCUCUCUCUAACAUGCUCGCCAAUCUGGCGACAUUGAACAUGUGACGCGGUGGAGGAGCAGGAACGACGAAAGUGUCUGAGGAAUGCUGAAUAGAAACCCUCUCUCCAAGAUAUGCAACUGCUCCAUAUGUCCCUAAGAAAUAGCGAUGCUCAGCGGUAUACUGCGCGGCUAACCCAGGAACAAUCCAGCCGACCCACGGCUGGUACUGCACGUGAGGCUCUAGCAAAGAACGCCUAUCAGAUAAGAAUCCAUCAAAGGUAAUACGAAAGUGUUCAAAUAUGCAAAGAACCAUACCGAGAUGAUCUGAUCUCGAACAUAGGCUCCAGCAAAGAACGCCUAUCAGAUAAGAAUUCAUCUUGUUAACGGGCAUCAAUUGUUGAAUUUUUGUUCCUCUCUUCGGUAUUAUCUUCAAUUUUCGGUAAUCCCCUUGCUCUUGUCAUCAAUUUUCCCUAAUCUCUUUGUUAUAGGCAUCAAUUUCGUAAUUUUUGGUUGAUAGAUAUCAAAAUUUUCUUUGUUUAUUCAUUGCAUGUUCUGGGAAUUCAUCUUGAUAACGGGAUUUCAAAACGGUGGACGCAGAGAAGUCAAGAAUAUAUAUCACAGCCUUGUUCAACAUCUGGAUUCGCACAGAUUGUAUGCUCUUACUGUACUUUUGCGGCAAGAGAAGGUAAAAGAUGACUUAUCAAAGCAAGAGAGCAAGGGAAAUACUUGCUGCCACAGCUAAGUCAAAUGCUACUGAAGUUGUUUCACAACCCACCAAAAAACAAUCUACUAAGUCACCACAGACUGAGGUACUUAAGGAUGACAACUGGGGACCUUUUUCUCCACCCAUUACCACUACAAAAUCUGACCAACAACCACCCAAUAGUUUAGGAUCCAUUUGGAAAAACCCUCCUGGUUCAACAUCGAGUUCAGUCAAAGAGGCAACUACAUCAGGUUAUCAUAAUAAAUACCCAGCAAAAGUCCCACCUAAUAUCCCACCUAAUAUCCCACCUAAUAUUCCACAAUCAAAUAGACCAAACUCAUCAUUGAACUCCCUUUCUAAUUCUCAUAAACCUUCCGAGCAAGCUGUGAGACGAGGAAUUCAGAACUUGAGACUAGUGUUGUUAAAACUUCAGCAAUAGCUCCACAGAAUAAUCAAGAACGACAAAACGGUGGGAAAGAAUCAGAGAAGAUCCCGAAACAAUCUAAGUCUUUACGACCAAAAGCACUUCCGGAUUAGCCUGUAGAUAUAGAUUUUGACGACAAGGAGGAGGUUCUAACCAUAGGUGCAAAAGUUAUUUUAAGAUGUUUGGAAGGGUUGCCUUACAAAUUACUAGCUCUGAAAUUUCUAGAAUGUUCAAUAGUCUUUUUCGAUUUGGUUUGAGAUGCCAAGGGUAAUACUACAUUAGUAAGUGGUAUUAUUCUUCCAAUUGAUGUAUGGAGUAAUAACGGCGUCCAGUACUAUGUCGAAUUCAAUGAUUUAUGCCAGCCAAUUAGGAAGCGUGGACAUAAUUUGGUUAAAUUCAUUAGUAUGAUUGCGAAGAUGGAGUCACAUUGUCCAGUUGGGGAAAAAGAUUGGAAAUAAAUCGAUAGGCAUUUUAAAGGGAAAAUAAUUAAAGACAUAAGAGACCGUUUUGUGAUUCCUCCUGGUCUGGAAUAUGACAACCAAGCUCUCAAGCGUGCCAAUAAAUGUUGGAGGUAGUUCAAAUACUCUCUGAAACUGCUUUAUUACAAGCCACUAGAGAAGAAAUUGGAUGAUAUUUGUAAUAAUGUGCCACAUGGAAUUACCAGUAGUAACUGGGUUAAGUUGGUAAAAUAUUAGGAUUCAGAUUACGGGAAAGUAAGGACAAUAUUCACCUUAUUGUUUACUCUAUUAAAUGUUAUUUAAUCUCUAACUAAAAAAUCUGAAAAUGUGAUUGCAGACUAUGUCAGAAUGCGGUAAAAAGGUACGAGCUUCUCAAAAUCAGAUUCAUACAUCUGGCUCUAAAAGUUUUGCAAACCAACAAGCUGAUUAUGUGUGGAAUAUAUAUGUCAUUUUAUAUUUACUUAGGAUGUUAGUAAGAGCAAAGCCAAGUUAUAUGCGUUAUAUACUAUUGUACACAUAUUUAAUGCUUGUUUUGCCUUAUUAUUUAUAGGAAGAUGAACAUGGACAAAAAAUGAGCUUGUUAGCGCUGUGGAUUAAAACCCAUACGGGUAAAGAAGGAAAAUUUCUUUCUGACACAGUCACUCAAGAUUUUGUGGAUGAUGUUAAAGCUAAGGUUGAAGAGUUGAGGAUGGUGCACCCUAAGAUGUCUGAACAAGAGCUCAAAGAUGAAGCAUUUCAGCAAACUAUGUAUGGCGGAGAUUCCCGAUCGUCCGGUGGGUUACAGACUAGGGGUUAAAAAGGGGGACAUUUUCGGAGUACGUGGUGUGUUAAGGAAGGAAGGCUAUGGAAAAGUUAAAAAGAGGACUAUUGUGAUGGAUAGUGUUAAAGAAGAAGUGAAUGCUUUGCACAAA
Molecule: long non-coding RNA, 2530 nt
Organism: Chenopodium quinoa (quinoa)
Lineage: Eukaryota; Viridiplantae; Streptophyta; Magnoliopsida; Caryophyllales; Amaranthaceae
Exons: 7
Source: RefSeq, a predicted model, not a curated record